CACGUUUGUGCCUUUAUUUCCCAAAUUUUCACGUUGUCGUUUCUCUUUCAGCCUUAAUCAUUGGAAUUUCUUUAUUUUUCUUUUGUUCAUCCUCCCUAUUUACGACGUUGCUUCCACUCAUUCUUGCUAUUCGUUUCGUUUUCGACGUGUGUGGUUUCUUUUUUGCCAGUUGUUUGUGUAAGUGCUCUUGAACCCUUCUCGUGUUGUAAGUGGGUUCAUUCUUAUUGUUAUUUUCCUUAGUUUGUAGGUUGAAAACGUUCGAUAAGUUCAAUCCGUUGCUUUUCUAGGUGAUGUUGGAGAGACGAUUAAUCCACCGACGACUUAGAAUUUUUGGUGAACUAUUAUUUUCUUGAAGGUGAGAAAUUGAUUUGAGUUUUAAUGUCGCAAUUCUGUGAUAGUAUGUUAAAAUUAGUUUUAUCGUUUGUUGUGAAUCGAGUUAGAAAAUCAUCUCAAAUAGUGCUUUUAAUUGAUGUGUUUAGGUUUCGAAAGCCUUGUGGGUAUUUUUGCAAAAAAAUCGAACAAGUUGUGUAACGAGAAACAUGAAAAACAGCGAACGAAAAAAGUCAAAAAAUUGCACAGUCGACGCCACACGGCCGUGUGCUGGACCAUGUGAGACACACGAUCUGGGCUAUUUGAGCUGUGCUCCAAGCCAUGUGGGCAAUACGGGCUGGCCAUUUAGGCCGUGUGAGCCCAAAAUUCUGAAUUUUUCCCUAGGGCCGUAAGUAUCGUUUGGAUCAAACGUAAGCCUACCGUAGGGUCGGUAUGUUAUAAUUAAGCUAUAAAACAUGAAUUUUGGCCAGUCGUUAGCGUGAAAUUUGAUAUAAAUAUAUAAGUAAAAUUUGUAACAUGCAAUGUAUUAUCUGAUAAAUUUUAUGUAUGAUCUGUAUCUGUUAUUCUGAGCAUGUACAUCAUAAAUAUAUUUGUUAUCUGUUAGUAUUACAUUUGCAUUUGGGGUGGGGUUUGAUAUAUGGAGGAAAUGUGGGCAGUGUAAUAAUCUGUCGUAUUUGGUGGCUCAACCACAUAUAUAUAAUUCUAUAAACAGCGAUAAAUCGCCUAAUAUACUGGUAGCUCUGUUGUAAAUAUUCUGAAAAGUGUCAUACCGACACUAAGUGGUGCGUAGGGUUGGAUGAGUAUUUAAUACCCUAUAUGAUGUGUAAGGAUGGUUGGAGAUGGUGUGUAGCAGACAGGGGUAGGAUUGUAAAUUUGUAUUUGAUUCUGAUUUUGUAUAAGAUAUACGUUCUGUAUCUGCUUUGCUACAUAAUAAAUCUGAAAUUAAAUUUGUAAUUCUAUUUUGCUUAAAGUUACACACUGAGUUAUGAAAAACCACUUACUGUUUGUCUGUCACUUUCAGGUAACACUUAAACUUAGGUGGGUCGGUGUGACGGGAGCUCAAUUAUAACCAUAUUUUUGUAAAUUUAAUUUAUUUAAAUUUGGGUUUGAAAGUUUUGGAAAUUUUAGAAUGUUUGGAUAUUUUUGGUUGUUUUGGGUUUUGGACUUUAAUUUCGUUUUUCGCAUAAUAUCGCUUAAACGUUUUAUCGACAAUGUUCAUUUUUACAAACUAUGUUUUCAAAAAUUUAACUUUCUAAGAAUUUCUGCUAUAAGUGUUGACACCAUUUUUUUGUGAAAACGGGGUCGACUUGGUUUUUUAAAAUGAAAAUGAAUAUGGGAGUCGCCACCAAUCCUUCUUUGAUGAGGUGUGAUCGGGUCACCUCAAAAAGUGGUUGUUUUUAAUAAAUGAUUUGAUUUUAUCAAAAUAACGAUUUUGUUCUACGAAAUUUAAAAAACGGGUUCGGGAGUCGGUUACGUACGAGGAAGGAUUAACACCCUCGUAACGCCUAAAAUUGGUACCUAGUUGAUUACUUAAUGUCUUGGUGUCGAAAAUUAAAAAACUCGAAAAGAAAUUAAAAAUACGAUCCCUCUUUAUAUUGUGCUAUUUUAAAAUUACUAAAAUAAAUCAAAAAGGAAAAUGCCUCCUUAUCUCGAAGUAACAAGAUGUCACAUCCAGUAAGUUAGGACAUGACGCCUCGUAUUUUGAGAGUAAGCUUGCCUUUUAUUUUUUAUUUAAACUUC
RNAcentral lists this long non-coding RNA (2070 nucleotides) under Gossypium barbadense (sea-island cotton). RNAcentral describes it as "long non-coding RNA (GBAR_LNC013482)". The record is from RNAcentral. Lineage: Eukaryota; Viridiplantae; Streptophyta; Magnoliopsida; Malvales; Malvaceae.